UACGAAGGGGGCUAGCGUUGCUCGGAAUCACUGGGCGUAAAGCGCACGUAGGCGGCUUUCUAAGUCAGGGGUGAAAUCCUGGAGCUCAACUCCAGAACUGCCUUUGAUACUGGAGAGCUUGAGUCCGGAAGAGGUGAGUGGAACUCCGAGUGUAGAGGUGAAAUUCGUAGAUAUUCGGAAGAACACCAGUGGCGAAGGCGGCUCACUGGCCCGGUACUGACGCUGAGGUGCGAAAGCGUGGGGAGCAAACAGG
Molecule: ribosomal RNA, 253 nt
Filed under: uncultured bacterium
Lineage: Bacteria
Description: partial 16S ribosomal RNA
Rfam family: Bacterial small subunit ribosomal RNA
Source: RNAcentral